AAAACAGUCCUUUUCAGGACUACUAAUUUUUAAAACGUCAGGAAA
Lasius niger is the source of this 45-nucleotide non-coding RNA. The record is from Rfam. Lineage: Eukaryota; Metazoa; Arthropoda; Insecta; Hymenoptera; Formicidae.